RNAcentral lists this ribosomal RNA (440 nucleotides) under uncultured bacterium. RNAcentral describes it as "partial 16S ribosomal RNA". It matches the Rfam family "Bacterial small subunit ribosomal RNA", at positions 338 to 795 of the family's 1533-position model. The record is from RNAcentral.
CCUACGGGUGGCAGCAGUGGGGGAUAUUGCACAAUGGGGGGAACCCUGAUGCAGCGACGCCGCGUGGGUGAAGAAGCGCCUCGGCGCGUAAAGCCCUGUCAGCAGGGAAGAAAAUGACGGUACCUGAAGAAGAAGCCCCGGCUAACUACGUGCCAGCAGCCGCGGUAAUACGUAGGGGGCAAGCGUUAUCCGGAUUUACUGGGUGUAAGGGGGGCGCAGACGGCGAUGCAAGCCAGGAGUGAAAGCCCGGGGCCCAACCCCGGGACUGCUCUUGGAACUGCGUGGCUGGAGUGCAGGAGGGGCAGGCGGAAUGCCUGGUGUAGCGGUGAAAUGCGUAGAUAUCAGGAGGAACACCGGUGGCGAAGGCGGCCCGCUGGACUGCAACUGACGUUGAGGCCCGAAAGCGUGGGGAGCAAACAGGAUUAGAUACCCGAGUAGUC